Molecule: long non-coding RNA, 875 nt
Filed under: Marmota monax (woodchuck)
Lineage: Eukaryota; Metazoa; Chordata; Mammalia; Rodentia; Sciuridae
Source: RNAcentral
UUUUAAGGUUGAUGAUGAAACAAAUCAUAGGUCUGGGAAGCGAGGGAGCCUGAAAGUUGAGGAGCUCUGAAAGUCUUACUUCCUCUGGGGAGGAUAAAAGCUGCGGUUCUUUUGUGCGAUAAUGACAGACUGUCAGUGUCUGCCUGUUUGCCUGACUCCCAGUCACUGAAUAAAUGCUGGUAAUUGCUAAUUGCUUUCAGAAGAAAAACUGACUCAUAGCCUGAGAGUGACUUGCAUAUCAAUGUUUCAGAGCCUCUCUGCUGGUUUUAUCUCAGGGCAGGGAACAGGGCACUGGAGUCUGCGCCCUUGCAUCGCUUGCUUCCCCAACAGUUUUGAGUUCGACUGAUUGUCCAGUGAUUUUUGCCAGGAGAUAACAUCACUGGCAGGUUUCAAAGGUGGGCAAUGGGAGUAAUGCUCCUGGUUUCUGGUCACCUGGGCUGCAGAUCAGAUCAGAUCUCCAGUUGCAUACACAGCAGAGAAGAUGAAAGGCAUUCAAUCAUUUCUAGCGAGUUAGUUGCAAGUUACCACACUUGCCAGGGGCUUGUGUCUUUCACAAUGAUUGCUUCUCUGAAGAUACAUCAGCCAAGUACAGAUUGAUGGCUCUGAGUUUACCAGCUGCAGCCACAGCCAAGCUCUUUCUUUCUUCGUGGUAACUAAACCUCAGAGGGUAUCACCAGGGACCUUGCAUUAGGGGCCCCAUCUGUCUGACAUGCCAGGGACAUCGGUGAGGGUUGGAGUAUAGACAAGGCACCACUCAAAAGGCCAUUGCUAUUGCUUGUUCUGUCCUUGGGACACUGCAGCCAUUUAGAUCUGUGUAUCUUCUGGAUUGUAAUAUGCUCCAGGUUGAAAGAAAUUUUAAAGGCAAGAGAUUGCAC